This 468-nucleotide ribosomal RNA is filed under the name uncultured bacterium. RNAcentral's name for it is "partial 16S ribosomal RNA". It matches the Rfam family "Bacterial small subunit ribosomal RNA", at positions 28 to 507 of the family's 1533-position model. The record is from RNAcentral.
GACGAACGCUGGCGGCGUGCUUAACACAUGCAAGUCGAACGGAAAGGCCCUGCUUUUGUGGGGUGCUCGAGUGGCGAACGGGUGAGUAACACGUGAGUAACCUGCCCUUGACUUUGGGAUAACUUCAGGAAACUGGGGCUAAUACCGGAUAGGAGCUCCUGCUGCAUGGUGGGGGUUGGAAAGUUUCGGCGGUUGGGGAUGGACUCGCGGCUUAUCAGCUUGUUGGUUGGGUAGUGGCUUACCAAGGCUUUGACGGGUAGCCGGCCUGAGAGGGUGACCGGCCACAUUGGGACUGAGAUGCGGCCCAGACUCGUACGGGAGGCAGCAGUGGGGAAUAGUGCACAAUGGGCGGAAGCCUGAUGCAGCAACGCCGCGUGCGGGAUGACGGCCUUCGGGUUGUAAACCGCUUUCGCUUGUGACGAAGCGUGAGUGACGGUAAUGGGUAAAGAAGCACCGGCUAACUACGUG